UGUCUGUUAAUAUUUAAGUGAGAAGUUUCUUUUUAUUUGUUUUAUUCAGGAAUUAUUUCUUAAAUUAUUAAGUCACACCCGUGACGAGGACAAAAGAAACAGGCGAAGAUUAUGGAUCCAACAAUGUACAGGGAAAUAUUACUGUUCAAGACACGGGGAAAAUACCCCGAGAAGUCCACGAAGGGGGAAAAAUUCAUCAUCCGGAGGCGUGCAGGACACUUAUGUGGUUCAAGACGGCGAGCUCUAUUAUAUACAUAAGAAGGGUACAGAGCCAUCAAUAAAGGUGAAGGUGGUCAAAGGCACUGAAGAGGCAGACAGUCUUUUCCUGGAAUUUCAUGCAAGUGCUAUAGGGGCACACUGUGGCCAACACAGAACUAGAGAGGCAGUUUCCUCCAGAUAUUACUGGCCUGGAAUGAGUUCCGAUAUUGAUAAUUGGGUUACACAGUGCCCUAAAUGUCAGGGGAAGAGGACCACUAUAAAACUAGAAGAAAAAUUCACUCCCAUUGUUGUCAAGGAACCAUGGGAGCUUCUAGGAGUGGACCUUAUUAGUAAAUUGAGCAAGACCCUAAAUGGCAACCAAUAAAUUUGCGUGCUGAUUGAUUACCAAAUGGGUGGAGGCCUUCCCCAUUUCCUCCAAAUCUGCAGAGGAUGUCACAAUGUGCAUAGUAAAGUCCUUUUACACUUUUGGAGCUCCUAAAAGGAUUUUAAUGGACCAAGGGAGAGAAUUCAUUAAUCAGGUGAUAUCUGGUCUUCACUACUUCUAAAUGUUUACUUUACAUGAUCUCUGUAAUUGUAUGCGUUAUUUCAAAUUCCAUAAAUAAUUUUAGCCGUCACCGCUUAUUUUAUUCUGUUUUAAUG
Molecule: long non-coding RNA, 858 nt
Organism: Acipenser ruthenus (sterlet)
Lineage: Eukaryota; Metazoa; Chordata; Actinopteri; Acipenseriformes; Acipenseridae
Exons: 5
Source: RefSeq, a predicted model, not a curated record